UAACGAUGGAAAGCUUGCUUUCCAGUCGACGAGUGGCGGACGGGUGAGUAAUGCAUAGGAAUCUACCCAGUAGCGGGGGACAACGUGUGGAAACGCACGCUAAUACCGCAUACGCCUUACGGGGGAAAGCGGGGGACCUUCGGGCCUCGCACUAUUGGAUGAGCCUAUGUCUGAUUAGCUAGUUGGUAGGGUAAAAGCCUACCAAGGCGACGAUCAGUAGCUGGUUUGAGAGAAUGAUCAGCCACACUGGGACUGAGACACGGCCCAGACUCC
RNAcentral lists this ribosomal RNA (273 nucleotides) under unidentified marine bacterioplankton. Its description in RNAcentral is "partial 16S ribosomal RNA". It matches the Rfam family "Bacterial small subunit ribosomal RNA", at positions 64 to 339 of the family's 1533-position model. RNAcentral also lists the same sequence under 1 other name. The record is from RNAcentral.